RNAcentral lists this ribosomal RNA (433 nucleotides) under uncultured bacterium. RNAcentral's name for it is "partial 16S ribosomal RNA". It matches the Rfam family "Bacterial small subunit ribosomal RNA", at positions 29 to 507 of the family's 1533-position model. The record is from RNAcentral.
AACGAACGCUGGCGGCAGGCCUAACACAUGCAAGUCGAGCGAGGACUUCGGUCCUAGCGGCGGACGGGUGAGUAACGCGUGGGAACGUGCCCUUUGCUUCGGAAUAGCCCUGGGAAACUGGGAGUAAUACCGGAUGAGCCCUUUGGGGGAAAGAUUUAUCGGCGAAGGAUCGGCCCGCGUUGGAUUAGGUAGUUGGUGGGGUAAUGGCCUACCAAGCCGACGAUCCAUAGCUGGUCUGAGAGGAUGAUCAGCCACACUGGGACUGAGACACGGCCCAGACUCCUACGGGAGGCAGCAGUGGGGAAUCUUAGACAAUGGGGGAAACCCUGAUCUAGCCAUGCCGCGUGAGCGAUGAAGGCCUUAGGGUUGUAAAGCUCUUUCAGCUGGGAAGAUAAUGACGGUACCAGCAGAAGAAGCCCCGGCUAACUCCGUG